Molecule: non-coding RNA, 115 nt
Organism: Triticum aestivum (bread wheat)
Lineage: Eukaryota; Viridiplantae; Streptophyta; Magnoliopsida; Poales; Poaceae
Source: Rfam
AUCCUACUCCCUCCGUUCGGAAUUACUUGUCGCGGAAAUGGAUAUAUCUAAACGUAUUUUAGUUUUAGAUACAUCCAUUUUCGAGAUAAGUAAUUCUGAACAGAGGGAGUACAAU